UGAGUAAUGCCUAGGAAUCUGCCUGAUAGUGGGGGACAACGUUUCGAAAGGAACGCUAAUACCGCAUACGUCCUACGGGAGAAAGCAGGGGACCUUCGGGCCUUGCGCUAUCAGAUGAGCCUAGGUCGGAUUAGCUAGUUGGUGGGGUAAUGGCUCACCAAGGCGACGAUCCGUAACUGGUCUGAGAGGAUGAUCAGUCACACUGGAACUGAGACACGGUCCAGACUCCUACGGGAGGCAGCAGUGGGGAAUAUUGGACAAUGGGCGAAAGCCUGAUCCAGCCAUGCCGCGUGUGUGAAGAAGGUCUUCGGAUUGUAAAGCACUUUAAGUUGGGAGGAAGGGCAGUAAGCGAAUACCUUGCUGUUUUGACGUUACCGACAGAAUAAGCACCGGCUAACUCUGUGCCAGCAGCCGC
This 415-nucleotide ribosomal RNA is filed under the name uncultured Pseudomonas sp. RNAcentral's name for it is "bacterial SSU rRNA". It matches the Rfam family "Bacterial small subunit ribosomal RNA", at positions 107 to 518 of the family's 1533-position model. Lineage: Bacteria; Pseudomonadati; Pseudomonadota; Gammaproteobacteria; Pseudomonadales; Pseudomonadaceae. The record is from RNAcentral.